CCUACGGGGGGCAGCAGUGGGGAAUAUUGCACAAUGGGCGCAAGCCUGAUGCAGCCAUGCCGCGUGUGUGAAGAAGGCCUUCGGGUUGUAAAGCACUUUCAGCGGGGAGGAAGGCGGUGAGGUUAAUAACCUCAUCGAUUGACGUUACCCGCAGAAGAAGCACCGGCUAACUCCGUGCCAGCAGCCGCGGUAAUACGGAGGGUGCAAGCGUUAAUCGGAAUUACUGGGCGUAAAGCGCACGCAGGCGGUCUGUCAAGUCGGAUGUGAAAUCCCCGGGCUCAACCUGGGAACUGCAUUCGAAACUGGCAGGCUAGAGUCUUGUAGAGGGGGGUAGAAUUCCAGGUGUAGCGGUGAAAUGCGUAGAGAUCUGGAGGAAUACCGGUGGCGAAAGCGGCCCCCUGGACAAAGACUGACGCUCAGGUGCGAAAGCGUGGGGAGCAAACAGGAUUAGAUACCCGGGUAGUC
RNAcentral lists this ribosomal RNA (465 nucleotides) under uncultured Klebsiella sp. RNAcentral describes it as "bacterial SSU rRNA". It matches the Rfam family "Bacterial small subunit ribosomal RNA", at positions 338 to 795 of the family's 1533-position model. Lineage: Bacteria; Pseudomonadati; Pseudomonadota; Gammaproteobacteria; Enterobacterales; Enterobacteriaceae. The record is from RNAcentral.